Molecule: ribosomal RNA, 483 nt
Filed under: Rhacophorus sp. n. PR-2018
Lineage: Eukaryota; Metazoa; Chordata; Amphibia; Anura; Rhacophoridae
Description: partial 12S ribosomal RNA
Source: RNAcentral
UUUGGUCCAGCUUUAUUUUCAAUUGUCUCUUAAUUUACACAUGCAAGUCUCAGCAGCCCCGUGAAGACGCCCUUUUAACCUCAACAGGAUAAGGAGCCGGCAUCAGGCACAGAAUUCUUGCCCAUAACGCCUAGUCUCACCACACCCCCAAGGGUAACCAGCAGUGAUAAAGAUUGUACAUAAGCGCCAGCUUGAAUCAGUCAAAGAGAAGAGGGCCGGCCAAUCCGGUGCCAGCCGCCGCGGCUAUACCGUUGGGCCCAAAUUGAUAUCAGACGGCGUCAAGCGUGGUUAAAAAUAAUAUAAUUAGAAUUGAAUUUUUAAGCCUGACCGUAAUAAACAUCUGCUAUUAAGAAACCCAAAAACGAAAGUUAUUCUAAUUAAUUUGAACACACGACAGUUUGGAAACAAACUGGUUAAAAAUACAANGAANUUUUUAGGGUGCAUCUUCUCAUUAUUAUUAGGGGGGGGGGUCAAUUACGGCUC